ACUCAAAGGAAUAGACGGGGGCCCGCACAAGCGGCGGAGCAUGCGGAUUAAUUCGAUGCAACGCGAAGAACCUUACCUGGGUUUGACAUGGCCGCUAAUCCUGCAGAGAUGUGGGGUCCUUCGGGGGCGGUCACAGGUGGUGCAUGGCUGUCGUCAGCUCGUGUCGUGAGAUGUUGGGUUAAGUCCCGCAACGAGCGCAACCCUUGUUCGAUGUUGCCAGCGGUUCGGCCGGGGACUCAUCGAAGACUGCCGGGGUCAACUCGGAGGAAGGUGGGGAUGAGGUCAAGUCAUCAUGCCCCUUAUGUCCAGGGCUUCACGCAUGCUACAAUGGCCGGUACAAAGGGCUGCGAUACCGUGAGGUGGAGCGAAUCCCAAAAAGCCGGUCUCAGUUCGGAUCGGGGUCUGCAACUCGACCCCGUGAAGUCGGAGUCGCUAGUAAUCGCAGAUCAGCAACGCUGCGGUGAAUACGUUCCCGGGCCUUGUACACACCGCCCGU
RNAcentral lists this ribosomal RNA (496 nucleotides) under uncultured bacterium. Its description in RNAcentral is "bacterial SSU rRNA". It matches the Rfam family "Bacterial small subunit ribosomal RNA", at positions 899 to 1397 of the family's 1533-position model. The record is from RNAcentral.